UGACAAUAGGUGCAAGGUAUC
RNAcentral lists this non-coding RNA (21 nucleotides) under Caenorhabditis elegans. Lineage: Eukaryota; Metazoa; Nematoda; Chromadorea; Rhabditida; Rhabditidae. The record is from RNAcentral.